UGAGGAAUAUUGGUCAAUGGAGGAAACUCUGAACCAGCCAAGUCGCGUGAAGGAAGAAUGUCCUAAGGAUUGUAAACUUCUUUAGCGAGCGAGUAAGGACUUCCACGUGAUGGGAGUUUGAAAGUAGCUCGAGAAUAAGUAUCGGCUAACUCCGUGCCAGCAGCCGCGGUAAUACGGAGGAUACGAGCGUUCUCCGGAUUUAUUGGGUUUAAAGGGUGCGCAGGUGGUCCUGCAAGUCAGUGGUGAAAAGCUGAGGCUCAACCUCAGCCUUGCCGUUGAAACUGCAAGACUUGAGAGUACAUGAUGUGGGCGGAAUGCGUAGUGUAGCGGUGAAAUGCAUAGAUAUUACGCAGAACUCCGAUUGCGAAGGCAGCUCACAAAGGUAUGUCUGACACUGAGGCACGAAAGCGUGGGGAGCAAACAGG
This 425-nucleotide ribosomal RNA is filed under the name Fusobacteriota bacterium. Its description in RNAcentral is "Fusobacteria bacterium partial 16S ribosomal RNA". It matches the Rfam family "Bacterial small subunit ribosomal RNA", at positions 355 to 776 of the family's 1533-position model. Lineage: Bacteria; Fusobacteriati; Fusobacteriota. The record is from RNAcentral.